UGGGGAAUAUUGCACAAUGGGCGCAAGCCUGAUGCAGCCAUGCCGCGUGUGUGAAGAAGGCCUUCGGGUUGUAAAGCACUUUCAGCGAGGAGGAAGGGUAGUGUGUUAAUAGCACAGUGCAUUGACGUUACUCGCAGAAGAAGCACCGGCUAACUCCGUGCCAGCAGCCGCGGUAAUACGGAGGGUGCAAGCGUUAAUCGGAAUUACUGGGCGUAAAGCGCACGCAGGCGGUUUGUUAAGUCAGAUGUGAAAUCCCCGCGCUUAACGUGGGAACUGCAUUUGAAACUGGCAAGCUAGAGUCUUGUAGAGGGGGGUAGAAUUCCAGGUGUAGCGGUGAAAUGCGUAGAGAUCUGGAGGAAUACCGGUGGCGAAGGCGGCCCCCUGGACAAAGACUGACGCUCAGGUGCGAAAGCGUGGGGAGCAAACA
This 427-nucleotide ribosomal RNA is filed under the name uncultured bacterium. RNAcentral describes it as "partial 16S ribosomal RNA". It matches the Rfam family "Bacterial small subunit ribosomal RNA", at positions 355 to 774 of the family's 1533-position model. The record is from RNAcentral.